This 827-nucleotide ribosomal RNA is filed under the name uncultured bacterium. RNAcentral's name for it is "bacterial SSU rRNA". It matches the Rfam family "Bacterial small subunit ribosomal RNA", at positions 58 to 898 of the family's 1533-position model. The record is from RNAcentral.
CAAGUCGAACGAGCGAGAGAGAGCUUGCUUUCUCGAGCGAGUGGCGAACGGGUGAGUAACGCGUGAGGAACCUGCCUCAAAGAGGGGGACAACAGUUGGAAACGACUGCUAAUACCGCAUAAGCCCACGGCUCGGCAUCGAGCAGAGGGAAAAGGAGCAAUCCGCUUUGAGAUGGCCUCGCGUCCGAUUAGCUAGUUGGUGAGGUAAUGGCCCACCAAGGCGACGAUCGGUAGCCGGACUGAGAGGUUGAACGGCCACAUUGGGACUGAGACACGGCCCAGACUCCUACGGGAGGCAGCAGUGGGGAAUAUUGCACAAUGGGGGAAACCCUGAUGCAGCGACGCCGCGUGGAGGAAGAAGGUCUUCGGAUUGUAAACUCCUGUUGUUGGGGAAGAUAAUGACGGUACCCAACAAGGAAGUGACGGCUAACUACGUGCCAGCAGCCGCGGUAAAACGUAGGUCACAAGCGUUGUCCGGAAUUACUGGGUGUAAAGGGAGCGCAGGCGGGAAGACAAGUUGGAAGUGAAAUCUAUGGGCUCAACCCAUAAACUGCUUUCAAAACUGUUUUUCUUGAGUAGUGCAGAGGUAGGCGGAAUUCCCGGUGUAGCGGUGGAAUGCGUAGAUAUCGGGAGGAACACCAGUGGCGAAGGCGGCCUACUGGGCACCAACUGACGCUGAGGCUCGAAAGUGUGGGUAGCAAACAGGAUUAGAUACCCUGGUAGUCCACACCGUAAACGAUGAUUACUAGGUGUUGGAGGAUUGACCCCUUCAGUGCCGCAGUUAACACAAUAAGUAAUCCACCUGGGGAGUACGACCGCAAGGUUGAA